RNAcentral lists this ribosomal RNA (266 nucleotides) under Pseudomonas yamanorum. RNAcentral describes it as "partial 16S ribosomal RNA". It matches the Rfam family "Bacterial small subunit ribosomal RNA", at positions 515 to 780 of the family's 1533-position model. Lineage: Bacteria; Pseudomonadati; Pseudomonadota; Gammaproteobacteria; Pseudomonadales; Pseudomonadaceae. The record is from RNAcentral.
CCGCGGUAAUACAGAGGGUGCAAGCGUUAAUCGGAAUUACUGGGCGUAAAGCGCGCGUAGGUGGUUCGUUAAGUUGGAUGUGAAAUCCCCGGGCUCAACCUGGGAACUGCAUUCAAAACUGACGAGCUAGAGUAUGGUAGAGGGUGGUGGAAUUUCCUGUGUAGCGGUGAAAUGCGUAGAUAUAGGAAGGAACACCAGUGGCGAAGGCGACCACCUGGACUGAUACUGACACUGAGGUGCGAAAGCGUGGGGAGCAAACAGGAUUA